GGCCUGGUAGCAUAGCGGUAGUGUGCCUGCUUCAGAUACAUAAUGAUUCCAACUUUACCGUUGGCAGGAGGUCCUCGUUCGAAUCGGGGUCAGGCCA
Mycena leptocephala is the source of this 97-nucleotide non-coding RNA. NCBI's taxonomy places the organism in Eukaryota, Fungi, Basidiomycota, Agaricomycetes, Agaricales, Mycenaceae. The record is from the annotation of a GenBank genome assembly.